Molecule: ribosomal RNA, 819 nt
Filed under: uncultured organism
Description: bacterial SSU rRNA
Rfam family: Bacterial small subunit ribosomal RNA
Source: RNAcentral
GUGCCAGCAGCCGCGGUAAUACGGAGGAUGCGAGCGUUAUCCGGAUUUAUUAGGUUUAAAGGGUGCGUAGGCUGGGCAAUAAGUCAGUGGUGAAAGUCCGCGGCUCAACCGUGGGAUUGCCAUUGAAACUGUUGUUCUUGAGUACAGUCGAGGUAGGCGGAAUGUGUAAUGUAGCGGUGAAAUGCAUAGAUAUUACCCAGAACACCGAUUGCGUAGGCAGCUUACCAGCCUGGAACUGACGCUGAUGCACGAAAGCGCGGGGAGCGAACAGGAUUAGAUACCCUGGUAGUCCACGCCGUAAACGAUGAUCACUCGCUGUUGGCAAUAUAGAGUCAGCGGCUGAGCGAAAGCAUUAAGUGAUCCACCUGGGGAGUACGUCGGCAACGAUGAAACUCAAAGGAAUUGACGGGGGCCCGCACAAGCGGUGGAACAUGUGGUUUAAUUCGAUGAUACGCGAGGAACCUUACCUGGGCUUAAAUGUAGCCGGACGAUUCCGGAAACGGGAUUUCCUUAACGGCUGGUUACAAGGUGCUGCAUGGCUGUCGUCAGCUCGUGCCGUGAGGUGUCGGGUUAAGUCCCAUAACGAGCGCAACCCUUAUUCUUAGUUGCCAGCGGGUAGAGCCGGGGACUCUAAGGAGACUGCCACCGUAAGGUGUGAGGAAGGUGGGGAUGACGUCAAGUCAGCACGGCCCUUACGUCCAGGGCUACACACGUGUUACAAUGGCCGGUACAGAAGGCAGCAAACUUGAGAGAGGGCGCGAAUCCAUGAAAGCCGGUCUCAGUUCGGAUUGGAGUCUGCAGCCCGACUUCAUGAAGUUG